GUGCUGGUCUUGGCAGCAUACAUACUAAGUUGGAACAAUGCACAGAAAAUUAGCAUGGCUCCUGUGGAAUGACGGCAUGCAAAUCCAUGAAAAUAUAUAUAUAUAU
Molecule: small nuclear RNA, 106 nt
Organism: Peromyscus maniculatus bairdii (prairie deer mouse)
Lineage: Eukaryota; Metazoa; Chordata; Mammalia; Rodentia; Cricetidae
Source: Ensembl